This 466-nucleotide ribosomal RNA is filed under the name uncultured bacterium. RNAcentral describes it as "partial 16S ribosomal RNA". It matches the Rfam family "Bacterial small subunit ribosomal RNA", at positions 28 to 507 of the family's 1533-position model. The record is from RNAcentral.
GACGAACGCUGGCGGCGUGCUUAACACAUGCAAGUCGUGCGGUAAGGCCCUUUCGGGGGUACACGAUCGGCGAACGGGUGAGUAACACGUGAGCAACCUGCCCUUCACUUUGGGAUAACUGCCGGAAACGGUGUCGAAUACCUGAUAUGACUUCGCCACGCAUGUGGGGUGGGGGAAGGCCUUCGGGUGGUGGGGGAUGGGCUCGCGGGCUAUCAGCUUGUUGGUGGGGUGAUGGCCUACCAAGGCUUCGACGGGUAGCCGGCCUGAGAGGGUGACCGGCCACACUGGGACUGAGACACGGCCCAGACUCCUACGGGAGGCAGCAGUGGGGAAUAUUGGACAAUGGGCGAAAGCCUGAUCCAGCAACGCCGCGUGAGGGAUGACGGCCUUCGGGUUGUAAACCUCUUUCGCCUGCGACGAAGCGAGAGUGACGGUAGCAGGUAAAGAAGCACCGGCCAACUACGUG